This 2349-nucleotide ribosomal RNA is filed under the name Salmonella enterica subsp. enterica serovar Durham. RNAcentral's name for it is "partial 23S ribosomal RNA". It matches the Rfam family "Bacterial large subunit ribosomal RNA", at positions 418 to 2748 of the family's 2925-position model. Lineage: Bacteria; Pseudomonadati; Pseudomonadota; Gammaproteobacteria; Enterobacterales; Enterobacteriaceae. The record is from RNAcentral.
CGGGACACGUGGUAUCCUGUCUGAAUAUGGGGGGACCAUCCUCCAAGGCUAAAUACUCCUGACUGACCGAUAGUGAACCAGUACCGUGAGGGAAAGGCGAAAAGAACCCCGGCGAGGGGAGUGAAAAAGAACCUGAAACCGUGUACGUACAAGCAGUGGGAGCACAGGUUUACCUGUGUGACUGCGUACCUUUUGUAUAAUGGGUCAGCGACUUAUAUUCUGUAGCAAGGUUAACCGUAUAGGGGAGCCGCAGGGAAACCGAGUCUUAAUUGGGCGUUAAGUUGCAGGGUAUAGACCCGAAACCCGGUGAUCUAGCCAUGGGCAGGUUGAAGGUUGGGUAACACUAACUGGAGGACCGAACCGACUAAUGUUGAAAAAUUAGCGGAUGACCUGUGGCUGGGGGUGAAAGGCCAAUCAAACCGGGAGAUAGCUGGUUCUCCCCGAAAGCUAUUUAGGUAGCGCCUCGUGAAUUCAUCUCCGGGGGUAGAGCACUGUUUCGGCUAGGGGGCCAUCCCGGCUUACCAACCCGAUGCAAACUGCGAAUACCGGAGAAUGUUAUCACGGGAGACACACGGCGGGUGCUAACGUCCGUCGUGAAGAGGGAAACAACCCAGACCGCCAGCUAAGGUCCCAAAGUCAUGGUUAAGUGGGAAACGAUGUGGGAAGGCCCAGACAGCCAGGAUGUUGGCUUAGAAGCAGCCAUCAUUUAAAGAAAGCGUAAUAGCUCACUGGUCGAGUCGGCCUGCGCGGAAGAUGUAACGGGGCUAAACCAUGCACCGAAGCUGCGGCAGCGACGCUGAUGCGUUGUUGGGUAGGGGAGCGUUCUGUAAGCCUGCGAAGGUGGCCUGUGAGGGUUGCUGGAGGUAUCAGAAGUGCGAAUGCUGACAUAAGUAACGAUAAAGCGGGUGAAAAGCCCGCUCGCCGGAAGACCAAGGGUUCCUGUCCAACGUUAAUCGGGGCAGGGUGAGUCGACCCCUAAGGCGAGGCCGAAAGGCGUAGUCGAUGGGAAACGGGUUAAUAUUCCCGUACUUGGUGUUACUGCGAAGGGGGGACGGAGAAGGCUAUGUUGGCCGGGCGACGGUUGUCCCGGUUUAAGCGUGUAGGUGUGUGUUCCAGGUAAAUCCGGUUCACUUUAACACUGAGGCGUGACGACGAGGCACUACGGUGCUGAAGCAACAAAUGCCCUGCUUCCAGGAAAAGCCUCUAAGCAUCAGGUAACAUCAAAUCGUACCCCAAACCGACACAGGUGGUCAGGUAGAGAAUACCAAGGCGCUUGAGAGAACUCGGGUGAAGGAACUAGGCAAAAUGGUGCCGUAACUUCGGGAGAAGGCACGCUGACACGUAGGUGAAGUGAUUUACUCAUGGAGCUGAAGUCAGUCGAAGAUACCAGCUGGCUGCAACUGUUUAUUAAAAACACAGCACUGUGCAAACACGAAAGUGGACGUAUACGGUGUGACGCCUGCCCGGUGCCGGAAGGUUAAUUGAUGGGGUCAGCGCAAGCGAAGCUCCUGAUCGAAGCCCCGGUAAACGGCGGCCGUAACUAUAACGGUCCUAAGGUAGCGAAAUUCCUUGUCGGGUAAGUUCCGACCUGCACGAAUGGCGUAAUGAUGGCCAGGCUGUCUCCACCCGAGACUCAGUGAAAUUGAACUCGCUGUGAAGAUGCAGUGUACCCGCGGCAAGACGGAAAGACCCCGUGAACCUUUACUAUAGCUUGACACUGAACAUUGAGCCUUGAUGUGUAGGAUAGGUGGGAGGCUUUGAAGUGUGGACGCCAGUCUGCAUGGAGCCGACCUUGAAAUACCACCCUUUAAUGUUUGAUGUUCUAACGUGGACCCGUUACCCGGGUUGCGGACAGUGUCUGGUGGGUAGUUUGACUGGGGCGGUCUCCUCCUAAAGAGUAACGGAGGAGCACGAAGGUUGGCUAAUCCUGGUCGGACAUCAGGAGGUUAGUGCAAUGGCAUAAGCCAGCUUGACUGCGAGCGUGACGGCGCGAGCAGGUGCGAAAGCAGGUCAUAGUGAUCCGGUGGUUCUGAAUGGAAGGGCCAUCGCUCAACGGAUAAAAGGUACUCCGGGGAUAACAGGCUGAUACCGCCCAAGAGUUCAUAUCGACGGCGGUGUUUGGCACCUCGAUGUCGGCUCAUCACAUCCUGGGGCUGAAGUAGGUCCCAAGGGUAUGGCUGUUCGCCAUUUAAAGUGGUACGCGAGCUGGGUUUAGAACGUCGUGAGACAGUUCGGUCCCUAUCUGCCGUGGGCGCUGGAGAACUGAGGGGGGCUGCUCCUAGUACGAGAGGACCGGAGUGGACGCAUCACUGGUGUUCGGGUUGUCAUGCCAAUGGCACUGCCCGGUAG